GCGAAUGGCUCAUUAAAUCAGUUAUCGUUUAUUUGAUAGUACCUUACUACUUGGAUAAGUAAAUCUAGAGCUAAUACAUGCUAAAAACCCCGACUUCGGGAGGGGUUUAUUAGAUAAAAAACCAACGCCUUUCGGGGCUCCUUGGUGAAUCAUAAUAACUUAACGGAUCGCAUGGCCUUGCGCCGGCGACGGUUCAUUCAAAUUUCUGCCCUAUCAACUUUCGAUUGUAGGGUAUUGGCCUACAAUGGUAUCAACGGGUAACGGGGAAUUAGGGUUCGAUUCCGGAGAGGGAGCCUGAGAAACGGCUACCACAUCCAAGGAAGGCAGCAGGCGCGCAAAUUACCCAAUCCCGACACGGGGAGGUAGUGACAAUAAAUACUGAUACAGGGCUCUUUUGGGUCUUGUAAUUGGAAUGAGUACAAUUUAAAUCCCUUAACGAGGAACAAUUGGAGGGCAAGUCUGGUGCCAGCAGCCGCGGUAAUUCCAGCUCCAAUAGCGUAUAUUAAAGUUGUUGCAGUUAAAAAGCUCGUAGUUGAACCUUGGGUCUGGCUGGCCGGUCCGCCUCACCGCGUGCACUGGUCCGGCCGGACCUUUCCUUCUGGAGAACCGCAUGCCCUUCACUGGGUGUGUCGGGGAACCAGGACUUUUACUUUGAAAAAAUUAGAGUGUUCAAAGCAGGCCUUUGCUCGAAUACAUUAGCAUGGAAUAAUAGAAUAGGACGUGCGGUCCUAUUUUGUUGGUUUCUAGGACCGCCGUAAUGAUUAAUAGGGAUAGUCGGGGGCAUCAGUAUUCAAUUGUCAGAGGUGAAAUUCUUAGAUUUAUUGAAGACUAACUACUGCGAAAGCAUUUGCCAAGGAUGUUUUCAUUAAUCAGUGAACGAAAGUUAGGGGAUCGAAGACGAUCAGAUACCGUCGUAGUCUUAACCGUAAACUAUGCCGACUAGGGAUCGGGCGAUGUUAUUCUUUUGACUCGCUCGGCACCUUACGAGAAAUCAAAGUUUUUGGG
This 1005-nucleotide ribosomal RNA is filed under the name Rhytidhysteron magnoliae. Its description in RNAcentral is "SSU rRNA". It matches the Rfam family "Eukaryotic small subunit ribosomal RNA", at positions 89 to 1111 of the family's 1831-position model. The record is from RNAcentral. Lineage: Eukaryota; Fungi; Ascomycota; Dothideomycetes; Hysteriales; Hysteriaceae.